CCUUAAAUACUCACAAUUGCCGUGCCUGAAGCCCCAUUCUCUAUGACAACCCCAUUAAAUGGAGAGGACACAAAACCUGACAAGUGACAACCCAUUCUCUUCUUUCAUACGCUUCAUUUCCAUCAUUUCAGAUCUCGAAUUCUCCUCACCGGCGCAACUCCUCUCCAUUUCCAUCUGUCCUCACCGGCCAACCAUCCAACCAUCCACCCAUCCACCGAGUCUCUCUCCCCCCAAGUGUUUCCAGCGAGUCUGCCGGAACGAGAUCUCCAGCGCAACCAGCCAACCGUCACCCGGCACCGAACGAGAUCUCCAUCUUUUUACUCUGCUCCGCCGCCAGCUGCUAUACUACCAGACACGGCCGAUCCCCAACGUCUCCAAGUCUGGAAGUUCAUAUCUGUUGGCAGAGAUGUUGAACUGACACCAUAAAGGACCCAGCAGAUCUGAUGGAGGAAUAGUAGCAGUACGUGGUGCGGUGGAGGAAGGAGGAACAGUGGCGGUGCAGCGGCGAAGCGAGGAACAGAGACGGCGCGGAGAUAGGAUUUUGGCUUGCCGUCUCUGAUCUGUGAUCUUCAAUUUUCUUUUUGAUUUUUUUUUUUGUUUUGAUUUAGUGAAUUGAAAAACUUAGUAUUUUUUUAUGCUAUAUUUUGAGAUUGGCAGUGUAAAUGCUAAAAAAAUUUUAUGCUAUGUAAAUUCUUAUAAAUUCUGCUAUAUAAUUUCCUGAAAAUUAAUUUUGAGAUUUGGCAGUAA
Long non-coding RNA from Ipomoea triloba (trilobed morning glory), 747 nucleotides. RefSeq lists it as uncharacterized. The record is from RefSeq and is a predicted model, not a curated record. The transcript is spliced from 2 exons. NCBI's taxonomy places the organism in Eukaryota, Viridiplantae, Streptophyta, Magnoliopsida, Solanales, Convolvulaceae.